UUUGCGGGGGAUGUUUUGAUAGAGGACUCGUUGUGAUAUCAUGGGAUUUGAAAUAAUUCUAUAUGUAAGAUGUAAUAGGCAGGGUUGGAUUAAAAAUUCGGUUGAAUUUUUUAACCCGGCUAUAACAUUUUUGUUGGUAGCUAUAAGAGGGUUAAGUAUGUUAGAGUUAAAGUAGUUCUAGAAUAGAUGGUUUUUUAGAAAGUGGGGUAUUACAGUUGAUGUCAGAAUCAAUCACCGGCCGGAAGUGUGAGAAUAAGUCACAGCUAAACUAAGGUAAUAUAGCAGAUAGAGUACGGCUCCCCGGCUAAUGACUGUUGUGCGUGAAAUAUGAUUUCCCACAAGAUUAAUUAAGACUAGAGAGACGAGUCUUACAUAGGCGGUGAGUGUGCUUGAGUCUGACAAAAAGGGCAGGGCCAAAAGAAACACUCCCAUAUAUAUUAUAAGGCUAAACUUCUUAACCCGACUAUAGCAUUCUGGACGAUUGUUAGACUAAAGAGGUUAAAAAGGUUAAGUAUCCUAAAACUAAAAUGGUUUUAAGAUGAAUGACCUCUUGGGAAGGGGAA
RNAcentral lists this long non-coding RNA (563 nucleotides) under Ananas comosus (pineapple). RNAcentral describes it as "long non-coding RNA (ACOM_LNC007693)". Lineage: Eukaryota; Viridiplantae; Streptophyta; Magnoliopsida; Poales; Bromeliaceae. The record is from RNAcentral.